This is an RNA transcript of Anguilla rostrata (American eel), 3436 nucleotides long. It is a transcript of the gene named transcription factor Maf-like, with no coding region annotated. The transcript has 4 exons. NCBI's taxonomy places the organism in Eukaryota, Metazoa, Chordata, Actinopteri, Anguilliformes, Anguillidae. The record is from RefSeq and is a predicted model, not a curated record.
AGGUGCAUCUACCCACUUAACGAGUGGGCGUGGCCUCAGCUUUACCAGAUUUUCUAUCCCACGCCAAACCCUGCCAGAGUAACUUUUUUUAUUUUAUUGUAUCAGUUUGCAUUUUAUCUGCUUUUUAAAAAUAUUGUAUAUUAAAAAUGUAGAAGACUGGCUCCUAAGAGUAGCUAGACCAGCUAAACUACAGGUAUUUUGUGCAGUGGCAGGGACUAAUCUCUGGAACUGGAUUUUGACCGUGCCAUUGUUGAUUGUGGCCUGGACACCUGUGGGGUGAAUGAGAGCUGAUCAUGUCGUAACCCAGAGAGGUCUGGAUGGGGGAGAGGGGUUCAAAGCCACAUUGAUUACAAAGGAGAAGGUGUUCGGAGGGGGCGGGGAGGCGCCGCAGGCGGGUGACGUGGAUCCAGGCUCCUGCACCCACUCAUCAUCUACAGGUCGUCCAGAAAAUUUCUACAUCUGUGAUAGCGAAAUAUGACCCCGUGCCCUUGGCCUUGAAGUCUGAGCAUGGAUGCAUGGCACCAUUUCAUUUGAAGGACAGUCAGACUGAUAACGCUGAGAAGUGGCCCGUUUCAUUAGCGUGAAAACAGAUGUUGAAAAGAAAAUUUGCUCGACAAAGACAGAUGUUCGCGGAGGAGGAGGCAUUACUUAGCGGCGGACGGCAGUUAGGCCUUUUUUUUUUGCCAAAGUAACACCUUAUCUCCAGCUGAUGUGUAAUUUAUGUGCUUAUUCGCUGGGUCUGGGACGGCGGGUUCGCCAAAACAGAUUUUUAAUUUUUCCGGCAGAAUUUAUCACACCGCGAAACACAUCCUGGUCACCUGCGUUAAACACGCGGCGGCCAAUCAGGGCCAAUAAAUCACCGGUUUGCAGAUGUGGAGGCGCGGACGAGCGAGAGCCAGCAAGCGAGGGCCUGCCCUUGCAAACUCCAGUCUGCUUGUCGGAGCCCAGAGACAGGCUGUCUCCUCCGCCAUCUUACCACAGGAAGUGGCUCCGCUGCUCAAUAUGCAAAUGCCCCUUCUGCCUACCAAGAUUUCACCUUGAGUAGAUGCAUCUCUUUCUCUCUCCGUCUCCCCUCUCUCUCUCUCUCUCUCUCUCUCUCUCUCUCUCUCUCUCUCUUUUUCCUAUAACGGCCCACUUAAUGAAUUGGACAAGCUUCCCCCUAUAAGUAGCUUGUCAAAAAAAGAAAGGGGCCAUAGCAUUUAUGACCUUAUAAAUAAGGCAAUGCCAUUUAUUAUCACAUUUCCUAUGCAGAUUGCAGGCGAGGCCCCACUCUUAAUGUUUUGCCUUGGUAGCCCUUUCGGGGCGGAUGUUUUUAGCAUACCUUGGGGCAUUUAUAUUUUCACAUUUAAUUAAUUUAUUAUUCUGCCUAGGUGCUUUUUAAGCGAGCAUGUAAGCAAUUCAAGGUGGUACAGUUUUGCAGGACACAGCUAUGUCAUGAUUAUGCAAUUGCCAAGCAAAUGCCCUUGUGCCAAACCAAUAGUAACAGUGCCAGCAUAUUCCAGUUUUAUUUUGCACAUGGCACAGUUAUUGACAUUGUCCCAUGUUUUCAUUUUCACACUUUGUAUUGCUGCACAAAGAACAUUUACUUCUUAUUUUGUAUUUCCAGAUAAUUUGUGCACUGAUUUUUCAUCAUUCCAGAAAUGAGCCCGUAUCUUGUUUUUUACAGUUCUGCUGGAUGUACUAACCGAUUAAGGUAUAUAAUAUGGGUAAAGAUAGAUAAACAAAAUGUAGGUAAAUCCAAGCUGCACUUAAAUCUAUGGCCAUAUGCUAACUAUCGUGGUUCUGGACCUUGGCUGUUGGGUUGGUCUAUCACUUUCUUCAAACAGCCAGCCUUUGCAUUGGAUAAGGCAUGGAUACUGUGCAAUGGCUAUUUAUCUUAAAUGCCUGAUUAAAAUUUCAUGAUGACAGGAAGGGAAAAGGGCCAGCAUCCGAGGGAGACCGGAGCCAGUGCUUUGUACAUUUUAAAAGCACUGCGCGCUUGUCAUGGGCGCAGUGUUGCUUCCUCCCUGUCGAGUUUCUUAACUGGUGUAGUGUGUCGUCAGGAGAGCCUCUGAUCUUUUUUUCAAAGUGAGCCUGUCUUCUACCUUACCUAUCAAAAUAAUAUCUGGAUUAUGUGUAGUCAGCUACUUAAGACAUGUGCAUGUUGCAGUUUACCGCAGACAAAGCCCAUGCCAUGGUGAUCAAAGUAUUUAAGUGCUUAAAGAAGCCUGUUUUAUAUGAGGAUUGUUUGGGUUGCAUAUAGGAUAUGAGUAUAUAUGAAAUAUUCUGGAGAACAGGAACUUUUGAUCAUUAUUACUUGGCAAAUUGUAUGUAGUGGUACGUAUGUGAAUUUUAUUAUUUUAUAUUAUACAUCUACACAGUAUCAUACCGUUCUACAAAGAAAUGAAACCAGAAUCUGCUGGGAAUUCUAAUGUUAAAUUUAUGUGACUGAAUUGUGUGCUGGUGCAGACUAAAGGCACUAAUUUCUUAAGCUGACUACCCAAAUCGUACUACCAGUGCAUUCUUAAAAGCAGCCCAACAUAUAUAGAAACCUUGUAUGUGUGUGUCCAGGCGGAAGACAGAUGGUGAUGGGCAUCCAUAUGAAAAACGUGCAGCCAGGGUGUCAACAUCCGCCUCUCUCUUACUCUCAGGGCUUAGAAUCUCUGUUUCUGUCCACCAGACAGAAAUAAGUUAUUUAUUUUUUUGGGGGAGGUGAUCUGUCCCCUCUUAGUCACUGCCCCCCCUGCUCUGUGCAUAAUGUGUGAGAAGUAGUCAUCAGCGCUUUAUUACCAGGGUGCACCUCUUGCAUUUGGAGUUCAGCCCGUGCUCUCCAGGGGCUUGGAUCCCAGUGCUCUUCUCGCUGUACCACAAGGCCUCAAUUACACUGCAAGGUACUGUGAAAGAGUGAAGGAGAGAAGGCUGCUAAAAACUAGCUGUUGAAUUAGCGCUGCUCUUCACAGGAAGAAAAUCUAGUACAGAAACAUUACAAUGCAUAUGCAUGCACGGCUCUGCAGCCCUAGAAACAGUCUGUAAGUGACGGUCGGGGUUGUGGAGCGAGCGUCAUUCCUGCAGACCCUGAAAGCAGAGUCAUUAUGGUGACUGCCUCGCUCGCCGCUGCUGGCAGGGGCGGCCGUUCGAGAUUCGCCUGAUGCCGCGGCCUCUUAUCUUGACUGGAACAUUAGAAUGUCUGGGCCUCUCAUUGCACCUCUGCUCCUGAGACGCGCUCCAGCGUUACCCUCUGCCAGAUUCCCUCUGUCCAAUCAGCGUGCUGAAACACACGGCUGUACAGGAAGCAUCGCGUCGUUCAGAGCAAAGGGAUUAGACCCUCCUCCAUUCUGCUUUUAGGCAAACAGAAGAGAGGUUUCACUUUGUGUCUUAUCUACUGCAAAUUAUCCACUUAGAAUUUCAUUAAGAUAAAAUAACUCACAAUAAUAUUAAUCUCAUGAUAGGAUAAGAC